Molecule: long non-coding RNA, 562 nt
Organism: Pipistrellus kuhlii (Kuhl's pipistrelle)
Lineage: Eukaryota; Metazoa; Chordata; Mammalia; Chiroptera; Vespertilionidae
Exons: 3
Source: RefSeq, a predicted model, not a curated record
UUUAUUUUCAUACAAGGUAGUUGAAAUGAGCCACGAUUAUUAAAAAAGUAGGUGUGGAAGUCUGGGAUCCUGCUCAGAUAACUGUAACAAAUUAAAUUCUUUCUUUCUUUUUUUUUUUUUUUUUGCACAUUUAUUGAAGUAUAAUUGACAAAUAAAAUUAAAAGACUAAAUGUUAUUUCAGACUGAUAUAAAUUGGCAAAUUGGGUUAAGUGGAUAUUCAGGGGAACUUAGAUGUCACCUAUUAAAAGAUAAAUUACUACAAUUUUUAUAUCUCCAUCAUUAUAUAAAAAAAAAUACUAGGCAGGAACCUAUUCCUGGAGCUUUAACUGUUUUUACUGAUGGAUCAUCUAAUGGGAAAGCUGCCUAUCAUACAAUGAAUUCAGACCGAGUCAUACUGACCAGUCAUAUUUCUGUACAAAGAAUCGAACUAGAAGCUAUUAAGGCUGCACUGCAGGAUUUCCAAGAGCCUCUUAAUAUUGUCUCUAAUUCUUUUUAAUUUUAUUUUUUAAAAUAUAUUUUUUAUUGAUUUUUCACAGAGAGGAAGAGAGAGGGAUAGAGUUAG